RNAcentral lists this ribosomal RNA (515 nucleotides) under uncultured bacterium. Its description in RNAcentral is "partial 16S ribosomal RNA". It matches the Rfam family "Bacterial small subunit ribosomal RNA", at positions 28 to 523 of the family's 1533-position model. The record is from RNAcentral.
GAUGAACGCUGGCGGCGUGCCUAAUACAUGCAAGUCGAGCGAAUGGAUUGAGAGCUUGCUCUUAUGAAGUUAGCGGCGGACGGGUGAGUAACACGUGGGUAACCUGCCCAUAAGACUGGGAUAACUCCGGGAAACCGGGGCUAAUACCGGAUAACAUUUUGAACCGCAUGGUUCGAAAUUGAAAGUCGGCUUCGGCUGUCACUUAUGGAUGGACCCGCGUCGCAUUAGCUAGUUGGUGAGGUAACGGCUCACCAAGGCAACGAUGCGUAGCCGACCUGAGAGGGUGAUCGGCCACACUGGGACUGAGACACGGCCCAGACUCCUACGGGAGGCAGCAGUAGGGAAUCUUCCGCAAUGGACGAAAGUCUGACGGAGCAACGCCGCGUGAGUGAUGAAGGCUUUCGGGUCGUAAAACUCUGUUGUUAGGGAAGAACAAGUACUAGUUGAAUAAGCUGGCACCUUGACGGUACCUAACCAGAAAGCCACGGCUAACUACGUGCCAGCCGCCGCAGUAA